RNAcentral lists this ribosomal RNA (446 nucleotides) under uncultured bacterium. RNAcentral's name for it is "partial 16S ribosomal RNA". It matches the Rfam family "Bacterial small subunit ribosomal RNA", at positions 29 to 523 of the family's 1533-position model. The record is from RNAcentral.
AACGAACGCUGGCGGCAGGCUUAACACAUGCAAGUCGAACGCCCCGCAAGGGGAGUGGCAGACGGGUGAGUAACGCGUGGGAAUGUGCCCCAAGGUACGGAACAACACCGGGAAACUGGUGCUAAUACCGUAUGUGACCGAGAGGUGAAAGAUUUAUCGCCUUGGGAUCAGCCCGCGUUAGAUUAGCUAGUUGGUGAGGUAAUGGCUCACCAAUGCUACGAUCUAUAGCUGGUCUGGGAGGGUGAGCAGCCACCAUGGGACUGAGACACGGCCCAGACGCCUGCGGGAGGAAGCGGUGGGGAAUCUUGGAAAAUGGGCGCAGGUCUGAUCCAGCCAUGCCGCGUGAAUGAUGAAGGCCUUAGGGUUGUAAAGUUCUUUCGUCGGGGACGAUAAGGACGGUACCCGAAGAAGAAGCCCCGGCUACUUCGUGCCAGCCGCCGCAGUAA